RNAcentral lists this ribosomal RNA (254 nucleotides) under uncultured bacterium. RNAcentral describes it as "partial 16S ribosomal RNA". It matches the Rfam family "Bacterial small subunit ribosomal RNA", at positions 524 to 776 of the family's 1533-position model. The record is from RNAcentral.
UACAGAGGUCUCAAGCGUUGUUCGGAUUCAUUGGGCGUAAAGGGUGUGUAGGUGGCGCCGUAAGUCGGGUGUGAAAUUUCGGAGCUUAACUCCGAAACUGCAUUCGAUACUGCGGUGCUUGAGGACUGGAGAGGAAACUGGAAUUACGGUGUAGCAGUGAAAUGCGUAGAGAUCGUAAGGAAGACCAGUGGCGAAGGCGAGUUUCGUGGACAGUUACUGACGCUGAGGCAGCGAAGGCCAGGGGAGCAAACGGG